GUCCUUAUGAUUAUAAUAUAAGGUUUAAUCUGCCCAUUGAAUUUUUAAAGGCCGCAGUAAUUUGACUGUGCGAAGGUAGCAUAAUCAAUAGUUUUUUAAUUGAAAGCUUGUAUGAAUGAUUGGACGAGAAAAAAACUUUUUUAAUUUUAAAUAAUUAUAAUUUUAUUUUUAAGUUAAAAAGCUUAAGUAUAGUUAAAAGACGAGAAGACCCUAUAGAGUUUAAUAAUUUAAUAAUUAUUAUUUUUAGUUAAUUUUAAAUUAAUUAAUAAAAUUAUUUAAUUGGGGUGAUUUUAAAAUUUAAUAAACUUUUAUUAAUAUAAACAAUAAUAUUUGAACGAUUGAUCCUAUAUUAGAUUAAAAGAUUAAAUUACCUUAGGGAUAACAGCGUAAUUUUUUUGAAGAGUUCUUAUCAAUAAAAAAGAUUGCGACCUCGAUGUUGGAUUAAGAUAAAAUUUUAAUGUAGAAGUUAAAAAAUUAAGUCUGUUCGACUUUUAAAAUCUUACA
This 504-nucleotide ribosomal RNA is filed under the name Brachygluta simplex. RNAcentral's name for it is "partial 16S ribosomal RNA". The stretch from base 378 to 504 matches the Rfam family "Archaeal large subunit ribosomal RNA", at positions 2542 to 2669 of the family's 2987-position model. Lineage: Eukaryota; Metazoa; Arthropoda; Insecta; Coleoptera; Staphylinidae. The record is from RNAcentral.